ACCACCUGUUUUUCUAACGGUUCACGCAAUCCUUUAUGCUCGCUUUGUAUUGUGAGUUGUCUAAACACUACACAACUCGAAAUAAAUAUGCUGUAAUUUGGAGCAGAAUGACUACAUCGAAUAAUUCAAGGACCUUUCUAUUUAUAUUCAUCAACCACAAAUGAAUUGUUUUGCUCUUACUAAUGAAAUAUGAUAAUCUGCGUCAAAACAACUAAUGCAUGUAGUUUUCCUGCGACUAUUCCACGCGUAUUUACAGGAGGAAGAAAAUGCUCUUUCUAGUGCUGCUGCUCGUUUUUUAUCCUUUUAUUAAUGUGACGGGUAUAAAUUUAACGUACAUCGUCAAAAAAGAAAAAAA
Leptinotarsa decemlineata (Colorado potato beetle) is the source of this 355-nucleotide long non-coding RNA. NCBI's taxonomy places the organism in Eukaryota, Metazoa, Arthropoda, Insecta, Coleoptera, Chrysomelidae. The record is from RefSeq and is a predicted model, not a curated record.